Molecule: ribosomal RNA, 638 nt
Filed under: uncultured archaeon
Lineage: Archaea
Description: bacterial SSU rRNA
Rfam family: Bacterial small subunit ribosomal RNA
Source: RNAcentral
AGGGGCACCUGAUCAGCAUGCCGCGUGAGUGAAGAAGGCCUUCGGGUUGUAAAGCUCUUUUGUCAGGGAAGAAACAGCAGCUCUAACACAGUCUGCGAAUGACGGUACCUGAAGAAUAAGCACCGGCUAACUACGUGCCAGCAGCCGCGGUAAUACGUAGGGUGCGAGCGUUAAUCGGAAUUACUGGGCGUAAAGCGUGCGCAGGCGGUUAUACAAGACAGGCGUGAAAUCCCCGGGCUUAACCUGGGAAUGGCGUCUGUGACUGUAUAGCUAGAGUGUGUCAGAGGGGGGUGGAAUUCCACGUGUAGCAGUGAAAUGCGUAGAUAUGCGGAGGAACACCAAUGGCGAAGGCAGCCCCCUGGGAUAACACUGACGCUCAUGCACGAAAGCGUGGGGAGCAAACAGGAUUAGAUACCCUGGUAGUCCACGCCCUAAACGAUGCUGACUAGUUGUUGGGAAUUUACAUUCUCAGUAACGUAGCUAACGCGUGAAGUCAGCCGCCUGGGGAGUACGGUCGCAAGAUUAAAACUCAAAGGAAUUGACGGGGACCCGCACAAGCGGUGGAUGAUGUGGAUUAAUUCGAUGCAACGCGAAAAACCUUACCUAACCUUGACAUGUCACUAACGAAGUAGAGAUAC